CUAUGAAGGAUACAGUGGCUAGAAGUCAUCCUGUCGUCCUGCCUCACAGUAACAUCGUUACCAAAUUCUCAGCAGGUGAACCAAAUGAAAUGGUCAACUGAAAGCCAACCAGGGGUCUCAUCCUGUCACUCUGGCUGGAAUACAGUGGUGUAAUCAUAGCUCACUGCAGCCUCCAUCUCCUGUGUUCAAGUGAUUCUCCUGCUUCAGCUUCCCAAGUAUCUGGGACUACAGCAAAAAAUCACCAUGUACCAACCUAUUCAAACUUAUCCAUGGAUGAAUCUAUCCAGAAGACAGGAGUUCCGAUGCUUGUCUUGCUCUGAAUGUCUGCUUGUCACCUGCUUAGCAUUAUCGACUGUGAUUCUGGGACUCGUUGUUGUU
Molecule: long non-coding RNA, 378 nt
Filed under: Pongo abelii (Sumatran orangutan)
Lineage: Eukaryota; Metazoa; Chordata; Mammalia; Primates; Hominidae
Description: lincRNA
Source: RNAcentral